Molecule: ribosomal RNA, 305 nt
Filed under: uncultured bacterium
Lineage: Bacteria
Description: bacterial SSU rRNA
Rfam family: Bacterial small subunit ribosomal RNA
Source: RNAcentral
UGUUCCUACGGGACGCAGCAGUCGGGAAUAUUGCGCAAUGGAGGAAACUCUGACGCAGUGACGCCGCGUAUAGGAAGAAGGUUUUCGGAUCGUAAACUAUUGUCGUGAGGGAAGAAAUUGACAGUACCUCAGGAGGAAGCUCCGGCUAACUAUGUGCCAGCAGCCGCGGUAAUACAUAGGGAGCAACCGUUAUCCGGAUUUAUUGGGUGUAAAGGGUGCGUAGACGGGAAAUUAAGUUAGUUGUGAAAUACCUCGGCUUAACUGAGGAACUGCAACUCAAACUGAUUUUCUUGAGUACUGGUGAG